This 242-nucleotide long non-coding RNA is filed under the name Hordeum vulgare. RNAcentral's name for it is "long non-coding RNA (HVUL_LNC000310)". Lineage: Eukaryota; Viridiplantae; Streptophyta; Magnoliopsida; Poales; Poaceae. The record is from RNAcentral.
GCCCCAAGCAACUCAAAGAAUUCAGGAAAAUCAGCUGGACGCCACGAGCAAGUGAAGACUUCCCGGAUACAGUUCCAAAGGAAUUGAGUCAUCGCGUAUGAGAAGAUGUGAUUCACGUCAUCCUCAACCACACACGAAGGAUGUUGGCCAUCUCUAGGUUCGUUACGCUUACUCACCCCGGUGUUCGAGGGAAGCCUACCCCUAAUGAGUUGCUAAACAAAUAUAUUUAUCUUAAAUGGCUA